AGGGACCGGUUGAGGGGUAAAGGGAGAGGCCUUGAGGGCUGGACAGUCCAGUGGAGAUCAGGGGUACAGGAUACAGCUGUACCACCCCCUCACCCCAGCCCUAACCUCAGCCUAACCAGCUCCCCUAAAAACAGCCUUUUCCCCCAACAGCAGCACAACACAGCAACCCUAACAGCGAGACCAGAGAGCAACCCUCACACACCAGGACAAUGACAGAACCCUCAGAGAACAACAGACCCACUGCGGCUAGAGAGCAACAGCAGGUGUUUCUGGGCAUCUAAAGCAUAGAGGCUUUGAAGAUUCUGUGAAGUAAACAGCAUGGAAUACAGGGAGUAUUUAGACUCAUGAUUUUGGCUUUUGUGUUUAGGGGUGGUAAAGCGCAUUUGUAAUUUCUGGUUUUGUUCUUGUUUUGUUUUGUAUUUUUUUUUAGGAGGAGCGCAGCAUCCAGAGAUUCCUGGUUGUGUCAAGUACAACACUUUUUUCAGCAGAUUCAUCAUGUCACAAGAGGGAUCCGCCCAGUGUCAAGGAUGAUGUCUGAGAUUGAGGCAUCAGGUGCCAGCCCUAAUAAAGGCCACAGCCUUGGAAUCAGGGUGAAGCUGGAGCCUAAAGCAGCCAGGCACACUCAGGAGAGGCUAACCAAGAAGCUAACAGGCCAUCACGAGGCGUUCCAAGGCAGACUCAUUUCAGAUGAAGAGGAUAAAAUCCAUGGCAAAAUCCAUCCAUCCACCCAUGCCGGGUGAGGAGGUUCCCCAGAGCAGGUCAGUCACUGUUUGUCUCUGCAGGGGGAGUUUAAAGUGUGACUCUGUUACAGCACUGUUCUUUUUCUUUUUAGGAAGUAAAGCUGGAUAUCAGCAGUCAAGGUGAGAUGGGCAAGGUGAGCAUUGAGUAGCUUACAGAAGCAGUUGUUAUUGCUCAAGUCUCUCUGCUGCAACUCUAAGCAUGUGUUCCUAUUUCUGCACCAGGCAUUCUUAGGACAAUGGUGAAUAGCAGAAUUGUUGGGUUUUGGCCAGCGUGCUGCUGAGGUCAUGCAUUGAUAUUUGGUUUUCUUUAAUGUAGCUGGCUAAGAAACACCAGGAGAUUGUUGAACAGCAGUGCCAGCAGGACCUUCCCAGAUGUAGAGGCCACCAUCUUUUGUACAUGACAUGGGCCUGCAUCCUGAGAUGUCUGAGAGAUAAGUAGAGGGCUAAGUCCCACAGAGGGGUGAGAGCGGGGUGCUGGUUUGGGAAUUACUGGGAGAGGUUUUUGAAUCUGCUUUGGAGGAGGGGGAGUGUCCAUGAAGUGGCCCCUUAGGCCCCAUAAAAGCAAAGUCUCACUUUUGAUCACAGUGCUGAGGUGCUCAGGGCAGAGCAGUCCCGGUGUGUCUUGUGUCCCUUGUGUAUUGUGCAUUAUGUGUGUUUGGCUAUGUCCUGUCCUUUAGCUUAGGCCUUUGAGGGGCCUGUCAGAACCCCGGCAUCAUUCUUAGCAUCUGUGAUUUCUGCAUUCCUUGGCCUGGCACCCAGGCCAUAGAACUUUUGACUCGGGAGCUCAGACAGGCAUCAGAAUUGCAUCUCUUUUUAGAAGCAGCUAGUCAGAUGUCUUUUCAGGUCUUGUUCUCAGCUGUACGGACAACUGCAACCCUGCAAGGUUCCAUUAUGGCUGAUUAGGACUUGUAAGAAUGUGAGCACAGGUAGAGCAUUGCGACUGUAGGGCUCCUGGGCAUUCAUCUUUGCAAUUCUUGGACUGAAUCAUUCAGUUUAGCAUCUUCUUUUUCCAGGGCUCUCUGAGCCUCAUCAGCUCACCAUCAGUCUCACCUUAGUCAUCUCAUUUUGCAUCCUCUCAGUCCUUGCAGUCAUUUUCCUUGCCUAGAGGUUUCUGUCUGUGUCGUGUCCCUAUUGUUUGUCACGUCCUGUCGUGUCAGGGGUGUCAGCACACAUUUGUGUCGGAGCUGCUCUGCCCUGCCGCAUAGCCUGCUGCAAUAGGACAAGUCCCGGGGACUUGGAAUUUGUAGUAUGUGGUGUAGUUGGACUCUAGAUGGGAUUUGUAGAUGGACACAAGAUGUCUGGAGCUCUUAAG
Long non-coding RNA from Zonotrichia leucophrys gambelii, 2052 nucleotides. RefSeq lists it as uncharacterized. The transcript is spliced from 5 exons. The record is from RefSeq and is a predicted model, not a curated record. Lineage: Eukaryota; Metazoa; Chordata; Aves; Passeriformes; Passerellidae.